RNAcentral lists this long non-coding RNA (1366 nucleotides) under Salmo trutta (river trout). RNAcentral's name for it is "lncRNA (ENSSTUG00000021917.1)". Lineage: Eukaryota; Metazoa; Chordata; Actinopteri; Salmoniformes; Salmonidae. The record is from RNAcentral.
AUGUGGGUGGAGCUCCUCCUCACCACUCUGUUAUUAUUAUUACAUGUAGGUGGAGCUCCUCCUCACCACUCUGUUAUUAUUAUUACAUGUAGGUGGAGCUCCUCCUCAUCACUCUGUUAUUAUUAUUACUACAUGUAGGUGGAGCUCCUCCUCACCACUCUGUUAUUAUUAUUACUACAUGUAGGUGGAGCUCCUCCUCACCACUCUGUUAUUAUUACAUGUAGGUGGAGCUCCACCUCACCACUCUGUUAUUAUUAUUACAUGUAGGUGGAGCUCCUCCUCACCACUCUGUUAUUAUUAUUACAUAUAGGUGGAGCUCCUCCUCAUCACUCUGGUAUUAUUAUUACAUGUAGGUGGAGCUCCUCCUCAUCACUCUGUUAUUAUUAUUACAUGUAGGUAGAGCUCCUCCUCACCACUCUGUUAUUAUUAUUACAUGUAGGUAGAGCUCCUCCUCACCACUCUGUUAUUAUUACAUGUAGGUGGAGCUCCUCCUCAUCACUCUGGUAUUAUUAUUACAUGUAGGUGGAGCUCCUCCUCACCACUCUGUUAUUAUUAUUACUACAUGUAGGUGGAGCUCCUCCUCACCACUCUGUUAUUAUUAUUACUACAUGUAGGUGGAGCUCCUCCUCACCACUCUGUUAUUAUUAUUACUACAUGUAGGUGGAGCUCCUCCUCAUCACUCUGUUAUUAUUAUUACAUGUAGUUGGAGCUCCUCCUCACCACUCUGUUAUUAUUAUUAUUACAUGUAGGUGGAGCUCCUCCUCACCACUCUUAUUAUUACUACAUGUAGGUGGAGCUCCUCCUCAUCACUCUGUUAUUAUUAUUACUACAUGUAGGUGGAGCUCCUCCUCAUCACUCUGUUAUUAUUAUUACUACAUGUAGGUGGAGCUCCUCCUCACCACUCUGUUAUUAUUAUUACUACAUGUAGGUGGAGCUCCACCUAACCACUCUGUUAUUAUUACAUGUAGACCCUACUUUACUUUACUGGCUUGAUUGUCCCUGUGGGGAAAUGUUGUUGCAGUGUCUUGUACACGUUUAAAGUGGCAUUUAAAUACAAAACAAAUUGACAAUACAACUUUCAUAACAGUUACAUAGCAAUAAAACUUGGCAGUUAAAAGCUAAAUAUCAGCACUUACAAGUUUGAACCCAAAAAACAUACAAAUCUGCAUGGAUGGGAGCUGAAGGGUGGAGGGUUGUCUGAGAGUUGAAACAGAACAGAUGGUACUGAGAACGGAGGAAGCGUUCCAGGUCUCGGAGGGAGCCAGUCAGUCAGAGACAGUCAGAUCCGCAGCCUCAGCAACGCACCUCACUGUCCCCUGGCGUCCAGUUUGCUCCGGCUUUGUUGAUGCUGGUUAGCCACUCCUCU